This is a long non-coding RNA of Sitophilus oryzae (rice weevil), 320 nucleotides long. RefSeq lists it as uncharacterized. Lineage: Eukaryota; Metazoa; Arthropoda; Insecta; Coleoptera; Curculionidae. The transcript has 3 exons. The record is from RefSeq and is a predicted model, not a curated record.
UUUAUAUAAAAUACCCGGUCUUUAUAUAAAGUCUCCUAUCGCAGAGGAGAAACAGAAACCAAAUGAAGAUAGGAAUGAGGAAUACACUGUUGCGUUGUUGCUGUUGGGGAUGGUCACUUAACCGAUUUCAAGUGAAAAACAUCGAAAUUUGGCUAAAAUUCCGAUUCACUAAUCGACUUGGCAUGCCUAGAAACCACCAAAUACAACAUUUAUACAUUAAGAGGUACCUAUUGAAGAUAUUUAAGUUAUACGGUUUCCCUUUCCAACCAGUAUAUCGAUGGCAGUAUCUUAUAAAAUGCACGGAUAUGCACCUUUUUUAU